This 381-nucleotide RNase P RNA is filed under the name uncultured Cytobacillus sp. Its description in RNAcentral is "Bacterial RNase P class B". It matches the Rfam family "Bacterial RNase P class B". From Rfam's summary of the family: Ribonuclease P (RNase P) is a ubiquitous endoribonuclease, found in archaea, bacteria and eukarya as well as chloroplasts and mitochondria. Its best characterised activity is the generation of mature 5'-ends of tRNAs by cleaving the 5'-leader elements of precursor-tRNAs. The record is from RNAcentral. Lineage: Bacteria; Bacillati; Bacillota; Bacilli; Caryophanales; Bacillaceae.
UUCGGGUAAUCGCUGCAAUUUUUUGAAAUUGUAGAGGAAAGUCCAUGCUCACACAGGCUGAGAUGCCAGUAGUGUUCGUGCCUGGCGAAGUCAUAAGCUAGGGCAACUUUAAAAGUUGACGGCAGGGAAAAUACCUAAGUCUUUUAAGAUAUGGUAUGAAUACCUUUAAAAGUGCCACAGUGACGAAGUCUUUUCAGAAAUGAGAAGAGUGGAACGAGGUAAACCCCGCGAGUGAGAAACCCAAAUUAUGGUAGGGGCACUUUCCUAAAGGAAAUGAACUGAUGGGAAGGACAGGCGUAUCGUCUGUAGAUAGAUGAUUACCACUAUGUACGAGGCAAUACAUUGCCGUUUGUAGUACGUAGAACAAAACAUGGCUUACAG